This is a small nuclear RNA of Eptesicus fuscus (big brown bat), 107 nucleotides long. The record is from RefSeq and is a predicted model, not a curated record. NCBI's taxonomy places the organism in Eukaryota, Metazoa, Chordata, Mammalia, Chiroptera, Vespertilionidae.
GUGCUCGCUUCGGCAGCACAGACACUGAAAUUAGAACGAUAAGAGAAGAUUAGCAUGGCCCCCUGCGCAAGGAUGACACGGAAAUUCCUGAAGCGUUUCAUAUUUUU